Gouania willdenowi (blunt-snouted clingfish) is the source of this 2384-nucleotide long non-coding RNA. Ensembl lists it as uncharacterized. The record is from Ensembl. Lineage: Eukaryota; Metazoa; Chordata; Actinopteri; Blenniiformes; Gobiesocidae.
GACUGAAUUUUGGGUUUUCAUUUCUGCAACCCUUAAACACACUCACACACACACACACACACACACACACACACACACACACACACACACACACACACACACACACACACACACACACACACACACACACACACACACGCACACACACACACACACACACACACACACACACACACACGCACACACACACACACACACACACACGCACACACACACACACACACACACACACACACACACACACCCACACACACACACACACACACUCACUCCUGCUCACAGAGCAGCUCCAGCCUCUCACUCACUCGUCUACGUCCCAGUAAAGGAGGAUCCACCCACACUAUGAAGGAUUUCAGUUGAUCUAAUCUGAUGUGAACGUAUACAGCACUCAUGUUGUAACUGAGUGGACACACAGGGAGAGACGUUGGCAGCUCCAUCUCCUGCAGCUUUUUGGAGAAUUGUCCACUUCCUACACACAGGGACGGCUGGCAGGGCAACCUGUGAUGAUGAAGCCCCAGGAGGCCGAGCUCGUCAAUGAGAUCUCUAAGCUCCAGUGCAUGGUGUCAGAGCUGAAGAUGGGCUUCAGCAGUGCUCUGCUGGAGCUCAGCCACAUCCAGCAUGGAGACACGUACCUGAGGGAGGAGAUGGAGGAGAACAGGAGGAGCUGUCACAAGAAAGCACGGAGGAUGGAGUCUCUGGUCGAGGCUUUGAGGGAGGAACUGGGCGUGAUGAGAAGUCACAUGGUGCAGUUGUACAGUAACAGAAACCAGCAAGAAGUAAAAAAGCAGAAACAGAGUAAUGAUGAAGAAGAGGAUGCUCCAUCCACUGCUGCGUCCAGAGGAAAACUGCUCCUCCACUGCUUCCUGCAGGGACUCAAAGCUGGGCUCAGUGAAGGCACAGAUGCUCGACAUCAGGUGGCGAUGCAGCUGCUGCACUCAGAGUGGGAGUAUGUGUCCACUCUGAACCAGCUGUACGACACGUACAGGACAGUAGCAGAACCACCUCAGAACUUUGUGAAGUUUGUGGAGGAGCUGCUACAGCGCCACCUGCUGUUCAGAAACACUCUGCAGGAGCGACUGUCUGCGGAACACUGGAAGUCUCUGCUCGGAGAUCUACUGCUGCAGCUGAUUGGCCAGAACGACACAGCGUUUGCAGACCUGUACGUGGGAUACACCAGCACUCUGGCAUCGUUUCUCUUCCUGGAGUUGAACAGAGUGAAGUGUGACGCUCAGACGCCUCAGAGGGACAGGGAGGAGAUGAAGCUGCUGUCUCUGCUGCUCGCUCCUGUCACUCGAGUCCACAGCUACCUGAGUCACAUCCAGAACCUGUUGCAGUGGACCAGUAAAGAUCAUCCUGACUGCAGCCUCCUGCUGGGGAGCGAGCGAACGCUGAGGAGCAUCUUGUCCCGCUGUCAUAGGAUCCUGGAGGAGGACGUUUGUUGGGAGGAGAGUGGAGGAGGAGCAGGACAGAGCUGCUCUGAUGCUCCAUCCUGUUCAUUGUCUGUGAACGGCUGCAUGAGGCCUCAGCAGAACAGAGGAGAAUCAGACACUGCUCAUCAAAUAGAUGGCCCCCCCUCUGGUCACCCUGUGAAGGGCGUGGCCUCCAUGCGUGUGGAGUGCUGGUCGUGCAGCCCUGUGAACAGGCGGGUGUGUGUGUGUGGCUGUGGACACGCAUGCUGCCCCCCCUCCCUCCUGCUCUCUGCUGAUCCUACUGCAUGGGGGGAGAACAGCGACUCGGGACAGGGAACCUUCAGGAGCUCCAAGCACCCACAGCACGCCGCCCACGGCUGCCAGGGCGACCACGAUGACACCUCAGCCUUCGAUUACUCCUCAGUCACCUCCUGCAGCCCUGACCCCACCCUGUGCAGGGAGACCAUAGGCAGUGACGAGGAGGAGGAGGAGGAAGAGGAGGACAGCCAGGUGCCAGUGCUGCUGAAGCCUAAUGACACCCACAGGGAGAGGAGUGUGUGUCUGCGCUGGCAGGUUCCCAGAGUGACCCCCCACCCUCCACUGAGGAGCCCCACAGAGGGUCUAAUCAGCUCCCACAGACAGAGGGUGGUCAGUGUGCGUAAAGGUUCCCCUCCUCUGCAUCCAAACAGUGCCUUCAGACCCAUCUGGGACGACCCGUCCAAACAGGCUGAUUCAGCUCCAGAAAAGGAAAGCAGACAAAGCUUCAAACCCAUUCAAGCUCCAGUGAAGCCCAACUAUCAAAGUCUCAGCAGGAACAGGACCAAUGUGGAGGGUGGACGUGUGUGGGAGGACAGCGAGGACAGCGAGGGACCCUGUAGCACCGUCUGAUCUUCAACAUGUUACACAUGGAGGACGCCCCCCCCUCCCCCUGCUGAAACAGGACGUAUUAAAUCUAAAUAAAAGUGUCCGAGCGGU